Molecule: long non-coding RNA, 789 nt
Organism: Canis lupus familiaris (dog)
Lineage: Eukaryota; Metazoa; Chordata; Mammalia; Carnivora; Canidae
Exons: 4
Source: RefSeq, a predicted model, not a curated record
CACACCAUCCCACUCAGGGGUUGAGUUUCAACCAACAUCUGGCCCAUGACAACUGGGGAGCCUCAGUGGUCCAUGCUCUCUCUGUUGAGGCUACUGAGGUCAGGAUGUCCUCACGGAUACGGCUGGACACUCAAGCAUGGGCCACACAGCAGGACAUCGUGGCAAACCCAGCGUGGACAGUACCUCUGCCUCCAGUUCAGAUGGCGCAGCAGGGAGCAAACUGAAGGCCUCUACUCAGCAAAUGGAGAGCAGGUCUGGGAGGCGGAGAAGAGUCUCGGGUUCCCGUACAGGUCCCCCGUGUGACACCGGGCACAGAUUUCCCCAAGAAAGUUGAUAAAGCCAUCAAGAUUCUGCGGGCCAGGAAUCUGCAAACAAGUCAGUGCAGUGGGGAUGACUCAUCUCUACUUUCUGAUGUCUGAGAAGAUCCAAGGGCUGUGAUUCCACAGGCAAGAUUUAACAAAGCCUGGCAACGAUGAUCUUUGAUUCACUGGAAAAAAAUUAAUAAGCGUGUGAGAUUCUUUCUAAUAAUCUCCACUACUUAAUGAGCUCUGGAAACUUGCCGAAGAACUAGGCAAGCAUUCAAGCCCGACUUCUUGGAUGGUCUUAAAGGGAUAUGGUUUUUACAUGGUAGCGAUGACACUGAAUUGAGAAAAAUAGCCGAUGGACAGUUCCCCCAAAUCUCUUGCUGCUAAAGCCUUAUGGGUGGGGCACCUGGAUGGCUCAGUGGUUGAGCGUCUGCCUUUGGCUUAAGUCGUGAACCCAGGGUCCAGGGAUCGAGUCCCACAUUAG